Molecule: ribosomal RNA, 492 nt
Filed under: uncultured bacterium
Lineage: Bacteria
Description: partial 16S ribosomal RNA
Rfam family: Bacterial small subunit ribosomal RNA
Source: RNAcentral
AGUGAACGCUGGCGGUAGGCCUAACACAUGCAAGUCGAACGGAAGCACAGUAAGAGCUUGCUCUUACGGGUGGCGAGUGGCGGACGGGUGAGGCAUACAUCGGAAUCUACUUUUUCGUGGGGGAUAACGUAGGGAAACUUACGCUAAUACCGCAUACGACCUACGGGUGAAAGCAGGGGAUCUUCGGACCUUGCGCGAUUGAAUGAGACGAUGUCGGAUUAGCUAGUUGGCGGGGUAAAGGCCCACCAAGGCGACGAUCCGUAGCUGGUCUGAGAGGAUGAUCAGCCACACUGGAACUGAGACACGGUCCAGACUCCUACGGGAGGCAGCAGUGGGGAAUAUUGGACAAUGGGCGCAAGCCUGAUCCAGCCAUACCGCGUGAGUGAAGAAGGCCUUCGGGUUGUAAAGCCCUUUUGUUGGGAAAGAAAAUCAGCAGGUUAAUACCCCGCUGUUCUGACGGUACCCAAAGAAUAAGCACCGGCUAACUUCGUG